Molecule: ribosomal RNA, 245 nt
Filed under: uncultured bacterium
Lineage: Bacteria
Description: partial 16S ribosomal RNA
Rfam family: Bacterial small subunit ribosomal RNA
Source: RNAcentral
UACGGAUAGGGCAAGCGUUACUCGGAAUUACUGGGCGUAAAGGGUGCGUAGGUGGCUGUUUAAGCCUGAUGUGAAAUCUUCACAGCUCAACUGGAAGGUUGCAUUGGGUACUGGAUGGCUUGAGUUCGAGAGAGGACAGUGGAAUUCCUGGUGUAGCGGUGGAAUGCGUAGAUAUCAGGAGGAACACCCGAUGUGUAAACGACUGUCUGGCUCGACACUGACACUGAGGCACGAAAGCUAGGGGA